Molecule: long non-coding RNA, 600 nt
Organism: Achroia grisella
Lineage: Eukaryota; Metazoa; Arthropoda; Insecta; Lepidoptera; Pyralidae
Exons: 4
Source: RefSeq, a predicted model, not a curated record
UUUGUCACGCUCAUAUCUCGGCAUUCUUCAAAAUUUUCGUUUUAAUACGACAUUGAUUUUGUAGCAUGUAAUUUUCGAUAUUAUUUUCAAUACAACGUACAAAUAUAAUUGUACGUUGUAUAAAGUUGCUGUUAUGCUAAAAAUAGUUAAUACAAUAUGACUGAAAGAAAAAGAAAUAAUCAAUGCGAUUUAUGCGCCCUUAGCAUACCACCCCCGAUAUUGCUAACUGUUCGAGCCUUAAGAUUAAUUAGAAAAGUAGUGUAUUAAUUGCAAUGAAGUAAAAUGGCUCCCGAAUUCCCCCCUAAAUCAGGAGUGUGCAGCCACUUCGACCUGGUAGAGAUCGUAUUCAUUUGCGUUGCGUUCACAUUCUUGCUGAUAGUUCUGACGCAGGCCUGCCGUAUCAUUGCAUCUGGUUUCAUGAACAUAACCAUGUGACGUCACACGCCAUGGGAGCAGAAAAUAUAAAUACGAGGAAAUGUUGCAGUAUGCUUCAACCCGGUGAGAUGUGGGUGGCCCUUCAAACGUCUUUUAAUACCAUUGAGUCUCAAUUUAGUCCUGCUUGUUACUGACAAUCCUAAAUAGUAUUAAAGAUAACAAUAU